UCAGUACGGCGAGUGAAGCGGCAAGAGCUCAAAUUUGAAAGCUGGCUCCUUCGGAGUCCGCAUUGUAAUUUGCAGAGGAUGCUUUGGGUGCGGCCCCCGUCUAAGUGCCCUGGAACGGGCCGUCAGAGAGGGUGAGAAUCCCGUCUUGGGCGGGGUGUCCGUGCCCGUGUAAAGCUCCUUCGACGAGUCGAGUUGUUUGGGAAUGCAGCUCUAAAUGGGUGGUAAAUUUCAUCUAAAGCUAAAUACUGGCCGGAGACCGAUAGCGCACAAGUAGAGUGAUCGAAAGAUGAAAAGCACUUUGAAAAGAGAGUUAAACAGCACGUGAAAUUGUUGAAAGGGAAGCGCUUGCGACCAGACUCGCCCGCGGGGUUCAGCCGGCAUUCGUGCCGGUGUACUUCCCCGUGGGCGGGCCAGCGUCGGUUUGGGCGGCCGGUCAAAGGCCCCUGGAAUGUAGUACCCUCCGGGGUACCUUAUAGCCAGGGGUGCAAUGCGGCCAGC
Molecule: ribosomal RNA, 498 nt
Filed under: Aspergillus tubingensis
Lineage: Eukaryota; Fungi; Ascomycota; Eurotiomycetes; Eurotiales; Aspergillaceae
Description: LSU rRNA
Rfam family: Eukaryotic large subunit ribosomal RNA
Source: RNAcentral